GGCACAUUUGUGAAAGAAUCAACUCAUGCCUUCGAGUGUUCAAGUGUUCAACAACACAGUUUCAUAGCGGGAUAUCAUCACCUUUAGUAAUAAAUGGCAUUCAUGAAAACCAUUCAAUCUCAUGGCUUCCUGAUAACCAUAACCAACAAAUGAUCAUACCUCCUGACUCAAGUUUUCUUCCUCAUCACAACCAGAUUGACUCAGAAGAGGUCAUACGAGUAAUAUCUAUGUUGUGAACUUGUGAUCAAAGAUUAGUUUUAGUUACUGUAGCAAUGUACAUACGAG
Molecule: long non-coding RNA, 285 nt
Organism: Capsella rubella
Lineage: Eukaryota; Viridiplantae; Streptophyta; Magnoliopsida; Brassicales; Brassicaceae
Exons: 3
Source: RefSeq, a predicted model, not a curated record